GAUGAACGCUGGCGGCGUGCCUAAUACAUGCAAGUCGAGCGAACAGACGAGGAGCUUGCUCCUCUGACGUUAGCGGCGGACGGGUGAGUAACACGUGGAUAACCUACCUAUAAGACUGGGAUAACUUCGGGAAACCGGAGCUAAUACCGGAUAAUAUAUUGAACCGCAUGGUUCAAUAGUGAAAGACGGUUUUGCUGUCACUUAUAGAUGGAUCCGCGCCGCAUUAGCUAGUUGGUAAGGUAACGGCUUACCAAGGCAACGAUGCGUAGCCGACCUGAGAGGGUGAUGCGCCCCACUGGAACUGAGACACGGUCCAGACUCCUACGGGAGGCAGCGGUAGGGAAUCUUCCGCAAUGGGCGAAAGCCUGACGGAGCAACGCCGCGUGAGUGAUGAAGGUCUUCGGAUCGUAAAACUCUGUUAUUAGGGAAGAACAAAUGUGUAAGUAACUAUGCACGUCUUGACGGUACCUAAUCAGAAAGCCACGGCUAACUACGUG
This 497-nucleotide ribosomal RNA is filed under the name uncultured bacterium. Its description in RNAcentral is "partial 16S ribosomal RNA". It matches the Rfam family "Bacterial small subunit ribosomal RNA", at positions 28 to 507 of the family's 1533-position model. The record is from RNAcentral.